GGCUCAGAUUGAACGCUGGCGGCAUGCCUUACACAUGCAAGUCGAACGGCAGCACGGGAGCAAUCCUGGUGGCGAGUGGCGAACGGGUGAGUAAUAUAUCGGAACGUGCCCAGUAUGGGGGAUAACUGCUCGAAAGAGCAGCUAAUACCGCAUACGACCUGAGGGUNAAAGGGGGGGAUCGCAAGACCUCUCGCUAUUGGAGCGGCCGAUAUCAGAUUAGCUAGUUGGUGGGGUAAAGGCCUACCAAGGCAACGAUCUGUAGUUGGUCUGAGAGGACGACCAGCCACACUGGGACUGAGACACGGCCCAGACUCCUACGGGAGGCAGCAGUGGGGAAUUUUGGACAAUGGGCGCAAGCCUGAUCCAGCAAUGCCGCGUGCAGGAAGAAGGCCUUCGGGUUGUAAACUGCUUUUGUCAGGGAAGAAAUCCUCUAGGUUAAUACCCUUGGGGGGAUGACGGUACCUGAAGAAUAAGCACCGGCUAACUACGUG
This 491-nucleotide ribosomal RNA is filed under the name uncultured bacterium. RNAcentral describes it as "bacterial SSU rRNA". It matches the Rfam family "Bacterial small subunit ribosomal RNA", at positions 21 to 507 of the family's 1533-position model. The record is from RNAcentral.